CCUAUACAUGCAAGUCGAACGGUGUCUUCGGACAUAGUGGCGCACGGGUGCGUAACACGUAUGCAACCUACCUUACAUUGGGGGAUAGCCUUUCGAAAGGGAGAUUAAUACCGCAUAAGACAGUAACUAGGCAUCUAGUAGCUGUUAAAGAUUUAUCGAUGUAAGCUGGGCAUGCGACCAAUUAGCUAGUUGGUGAGGUAAUGGCUCACCAAGGCUAUGAUUGGUAGGGGAACUGAGAGGUCAAUCCCCCACACUGGCACUGAGAUACGGGCCAGACUCCUACGGGAGGCAGCAGUAGGGAAUAUUGGGCAAUGGACGCAAGUCUGACCCAGCCAUGCCGCGUGCAGGAUGAAGGCGUUAUGCGUUGUAAACUGCUUUUAUACAGGAAGAAACGACUCUUGCGAGAGGCAUUGACGGUACUGUAUGAAUAAGCACCGGCUAACUCCGUGCCAGCAGCCGCGGUAAUACGGAGGGUGCAAGCGUUGUCCGGAUUUAUUGGGUUUAAAGGGUGCGCAGGUGGUUUAUUAAGUCAGUGGUGAAAGACGGUCGCUCAACGAUUGCAGUGCCAUUGAAACUGGUAGACUUGAGUAAAGUAGAGGUGGGCGGAAUUGAUAGUGUAGCGGUGAAAUGCAUAGAUAUUAUCAAGAACUCCAAUUGCGUAGGCAGCUCACUUGGCUUUUACUGACACUCAUGCACGAAAGUGUGGGUAUCAAACAGGAUUAGAUACCCUGGUAGUCCACACUGUAAACGAUGAUAACUAGGUGUCGGCCGAAUCUGGUCGGUGCCACAGCGAAAGCGUUAAGUUAUCCACCUGGGGAAUA
Molecule: ribosomal RNA, 821 nt
Filed under: uncultured Flexibacteraceae bacterium
Lineage: Bacteria; Pseudomonadati; Bacteroidota; Cytophagia; Cytophagales; Cytophagaceae
Description: bacterial SSU rRNA
Rfam family: Bacterial small subunit ribosomal RNA
Source: RNAcentral